Molecule: long non-coding RNA, 1500 nt
Filed under: Marmota monax (woodchuck)
Lineage: Eukaryota; Metazoa; Chordata; Mammalia; Rodentia; Sciuridae
Source: RNAcentral
CAGGACUCUGUGACUGGGUUCCCAGCCAAGCAGCUUUCUCCAGUGAAGCCAGCCUCUGCCCUGGCCCUAUCUUUGAGAUAACAAGACACAAAAAUUGGUCUUGCCGUUUUUGCAAAGGCAGCAAAACAAUCAUGUGCCCCCCUCCUGCCUCUCCUUGCCCUGCCCCCUGCUCGGAGGGUCUGUUUGAGUCAGAAUUUAUCUCUAGGAAGGGCCCCAUCAAUUUGCCGUGCUCCUUUGUUGACAAGUUUAUUAAAAACCCAGGCAACUCUGUAUUAAACUUUUAUCAGUGUUAAGAAAAAAUACAGUUUUUUGACCAGACAGAAAAGUUCUGGAUUUGGGCUGAACCAGCCUUGCUGGCAUUAGCUGAGUCAGCAUUUCUGAUAAUAAGGAAAGGGGCUAUUUGGGGGCGAGGGUUGCUUUUGUCUUUUAAUUAUGAGUCUCUCCGGAGACCCUUGUGGGAUUCAGUACCCCCAAAUGGAGUCCCCCAUAGGUUCCCAGGGAGCAGUCCCAGCCAGGGCUGCUGAGACCCACUGGGCCAACCGUAAUUUUUUGCUAUCUAUUUUAAUAAUUUACCAAAAUCUAGAAUUAAAAAUUAAUUUUGUGGCGAAUCUGAGUGCUAAUAGGUAAUGGUGUUGUGUGGGGAAAUGCUAGGUUAUUGAUGGUUAAAUUAUAAAAGCUUCGUAGUAAAACACACAGAAAGCACCUGAUAUAGGCUGUCACGGAUUGGUGACAUCCUCCUGGGGCAGGAGAGGAAGGUGCUAAGGUCUGUUGAACCUCCCUGGUGCAGGGUGCCACCUUUACAGUGGGGUGAGCGGCUGGGCUGCAGUGGAGGGCCAAGGGUCUGCCCCAGCCUGUAUUGAGGGCCCUGCUCUGUGCCCCCGAGGGCAGCGUCUCUGGUGUGGCUGUGUGGCCAUCCUUGAGCAGAAGCUAUUUGAUGCCCCGUCUUCACAAACAUGCUGGUCACUAUGUCCACUGUGCUGGUGGACGUCUCCUCUGAGGUGCCUGUGUGGUUUGUUCUCAAGUGACGGCCAUUCCUAAUGUCUUGGGUGUGGCUGUGGGUACAGGAUGGGGAAGCACUGUCCUGCUGCCCUGGAGGGGCAAGCGGCCAGAGACCCCCUGCUUAGCCCUGACAGGCCAUGGAGUGACAGGGAUCGCAGCCGCACAGAGCUAGUACUCAUGCACAGGGUCACCAAGCUCAUGUGCCCACCCACUUCCCCUAUGCAGAACUGAGGCUCAGAGAGGCCAAGACCCUAAGGACGUCCAGCGUGGAGUGUGGUGCUCCAGAGCCCAAACUCACCCUCCAUCCAAGGGUCAGACCUGGGAACAGCCAACAUGCAGGGGUGGCCUGGUGCGGGCCACGGAGUUGAGAGCAGGCUGGAUGCCUCAGAAUUCUGGACUACCAAGGGGCCUCCCUACAGGGCCCAGCAGGGGCUUUGAAGCCACUUUCUAAAUGCAGCAGGGCUUCCUGGGCGAGGUGAGGCCACUCCUGGGGCUGGAGCU